CUAAUAGCGUAUAUUAAAGUUGUUGCAGUUAAAAAGCUCGUAGUUGAAUUUCGGGAUCAAUAUGUCGGUCGUGCCUUUGGUACGUACUGGUAUUAUUGGUUUCUCUCUUCUGAAGAACCUUGAUGUCAUUAAUUUGGUGUCUUGGGAAAUCAGGACUGUUACUUUGAAAAAAUUAGAGUGUUUAAAGCAGGCUUACGCUUGAAUACAUUAGCAUGGAAUAAUGAAAUAGGACGUUUGAUUCUAUUUUGUUGGUUUCUAGGAUCGAUGUAAUGAUUAAUAGGGAUAGUUGGGGGCAUUAGUAUUCAAUUGUCAGAGGUGAAAUUCUUGGAUUUAUUGAAGACUAACUACUGCGAAAGCAUUUGCCAAGGAUGUUUUCAUUAAUCAAGAAUGAAAGUUAGGGGAUCGAAGACGAUCAGAUACCGUCGUAGUCUUAACCAUAAACUAUGCCGACUAGGGAUUGGAUGAUGUUAAUUUUUUAAUGACUCAUUCGGCGCCUUACG
This 500-nucleotide ribosomal RNA is filed under the name uncultured Glomeromycotina. RNAcentral describes it as "partial small subunit ribosomal RNA". It matches the Rfam family "Eukaryotic small subunit ribosomal RNA", at positions 591 to 1092 of the family's 1831-position model. Lineage: Eukaryota; Fungi; Glomeromycota. The record is from RNAcentral.